This 203-nucleotide ribosomal RNA is filed under the name uncultured bacterium. RNAcentral's name for it is "partial 16S ribosomal RNA". It matches the Rfam family "Bacterial small subunit ribosomal RNA", at positions 1298 to 1500 of the family's 1533-position model. The record is from RNAcentral.
CUGCAGGCUGAAACUCGCCUGCACGAAGUUGGAAUUGCUAGUAAUCGCGGAUCAGCAUGCCGCGGUGAAUACGUUCCCGGGUCUUGUACACACCGCCCGUCACACCAUGGGAGCUGGUAACACCCGAAGUCAGUAGUCUAACCGCAAGGAGGACGCUGCCGAAGGUGGGAUUAGCGACUGGGGUGAAGUCGUAACAAGGUAUC